GGAUAGCGGAGAAAUUCCAAUCGAACUCGGAGAUAGCUGGUUCUCCUCGAAAUAGUUUUAGGACUAGCCUUGUUUCGUAGCAUUUGGGGGUAGAGCACUGAAUGAGGUAGGGGCCAACACGGUUACUGAACUCUAUCAAACUACGAAUACCAAAUGUGUAAGAACAAGAGUCAGACUGCGGGAGCUAAGUUCCGUGGUCAAAAGGGAAAGAGCCCAGAUCGUCAAUUAAGGUCCCAAAGAUAUAGUUAAGUGGAAAACGAUGUGAUUUUGCGUAAACAACCAGGAUGUUGGCUUAGAAGCAGCCAUUCAUUCAAAGAGUGCGUAAUAGCUCACUGGUCGAGUGAUUGUGCGCCGAAAAUGUAACGGGGCUAAACUUGACACCGAAGUCUAGGCAGAAGGAAACUUCUGGGUAGGGGAGCAACGUGUACGGGCAGAAGCAGAAGCGGAAGCGACUGUGGACUGUACAGGAGAGAGAAUGCCGGCAUGAGUAGCGAGAGCAAAGUGAGAAUCUUUGCCGUCGAAAGCCUAAGGUUUCCUGAGGAAGGCUCGUCCUCUCAGGGUAAGUCGGGACCUAAGCCGAGGACAAUAGUCGUAGGCGAUGGACAAUCGGUUAAUAUUCCGAUACCGCCGAGCAACCGGAUGCAGUGACACAGAAGGAUAGGCAGAGCGUGGCGAUGGUAGACCACGUCCAAGCAGUGAGGCUGUUGUGUAGUGAAGUACGCACAACGGAAGGCUGGGCUGUGAUGGGGAACGAUUACGAUCGGUAAGCUGCUGAAUUCACGCUGGCGAGAAAAGCUGCUACGAAGCGAAGGCGCCCGUACCGCAAACCGACACAGGUAGGCGAGGAGAGAAUCCUAAGACGAGCGGGAGAACCCUUGUUAAGGAACUCGGCAAAAUGACUCCGUAACUUAGGGAGAAGGAGUGCCCAGGAAUGGGCCGCAGAGAAUAGACCCAAGCGACUGUUUACCAAAAACACAGGUCUGUGCGAAGUAGAGAUACGACGUAUACGGGCUGACACCUGCCCAGUGCCGGAAGGUUAAGGGGAAAUGUUAGGGCAACCGAAGCAUGGAACUUAAGCCCCGGUGAACGGCGGCCGUAACUAUAACGGUCCUAAGGUAGCGAAAUUCCUUGUCGGGUAAG
Molecule: ribosomal RNA, 1140 nt
Filed under: human gut metagenome
Description: bacterial LSU rRNA
Rfam family: Bacterial large subunit ribosomal RNA
Source: RNAcentral